UCCCAGACUCCUACGGGAGGCAGCAGUGGGGAAUAUUGCACAAUGGGGGAAACCCUGAUGCAGCGACGCCGCGUGAGUGAAGAAGUAUUUCGGUAUGUAAAGCUCUAUCAGCAGGGAAGAUAAUGACGGUACCUGACUAAGAAGCCCCGGCUAACUACGUGCCAGCAGCCGCGGUAAUACGUAGGGGGCAAGCGUUAUCCGGAUUUACUGGGUGUAAAGGGAGCGUAGGUGGCAGGGCAAGUCAGAUGUGAAAACCCGGGGCUCAACCCCGGGAGUGCAUUUGAAACUGUCCAGCUGGAGUGCAGGAGAGGUAAGCGGAAUUCCUAGUGUAGCGGUGAAAUGCAUAGAUAUCACACAGAACACCGAUUGCGAAGGCAUCUGACGAAUCGGAGAUUGACGCUGAUGCACGAAAGCGUGGGUAUCGAACAGGAUUAGAUACCCCUGUACA
This 448-nucleotide ribosomal RNA is filed under the name uncultured bacterium. Its description in RNAcentral is "bacterial SSU rRNA". It matches the Rfam family "Bacterial small subunit ribosomal RNA", at positions 329 to 794 of the family's 1533-position model. The record is from RNAcentral.